This 450-nucleotide ribosomal RNA is filed under the name uncultured bacterium. RNAcentral's name for it is "partial 16S ribosomal RNA". It matches the Rfam family "Bacterial small subunit ribosomal RNA", at positions 354 to 796 of the family's 1533-position model. The record is from RNAcentral.
GUGGGGAAUAUUGGACAAUGGGCGCAAGCCUGAUCCAGCCAUGCCGCGUGUGUGAAGAAGGCCUUCGGGUUGUAAAGCACUUUUGUUGGGAAAGAAAUCCUGUCGGCUAAUACCCGGCGGGGAUGACGGUACCCAAAGAAUAAGCACCGGCUAACUUCGUGCCAGCAGCCGCGGUAAUACGAAGGGUGCAAGCGUUACUCGGAAUUACUGGGCGUAAAGCGUGCGUAGGUGGUUCGUUAAGUCAGAUGUGAAAGCACCGGGCUCAACCUGGGAAUUGCAUUUGAGACUGGCGGACUAGAGUGCGGUAGAGGAGAGUGGAAUUCCCGGUGUAGCAGUGAAAUGCGUAGAGAUCGGGAGGAACAUCAGUUGCGAAGGCGGCUCUCUGGACCAGCACUGACACUGAGGCACGAAAGCGUGGGGAGCAAACAGGAUUAGAUACCCCAGUAGUCC